This 433-nucleotide ribosomal RNA is filed under the name uncultured bacterium. Its description in RNAcentral is "partial 16S ribosomal RNA". It matches the Rfam family "Bacterial small subunit ribosomal RNA", at positions 29 to 507 of the family's 1533-position model. The record is from RNAcentral.
AACGAACGCUGGCGGCAUGCCUAACACAUGCAAGUCGAACGAGACCUUCGGGUCUAGUGGCGCACGGGUGUGUAACGCGUGGGAACCUGCCCUUAGGUUCGGAAUAACUCCCCGAAAGGGGUGCUAAUACCGGAUAAUGUCUUCGGACCAAAGAUUUAUCGCCUUUGGAUGGGCCCGCGUUGGAUUAGCUAGUUGGUAGGGUAAAAGCCUACCAAGGCGACGAUCCAUAGCUGGUCUGAGAGGAUGAUCAGCCACACUGGGACUGAGACACGGCCCAGACUCCUACGGGAGGCAGCAGUGGGGAAUAUUGGACAAUGGGCGAAAGCCUGAUCCAGCAAUGCCGCGUGAGUGAUGAAGGCCUUAGGGUUGUAAAGCCCUUUUACCCGGGAUGAUAAUGACAGUACCGGGAGAAUAAGCUCCGGCUAACUCCGUG